This 61-nucleotide transfer RNA is filed under the name Dilophotes sp. F LB-2014. Its description in RNAcentral is "partial tRNA-Ser". The record is from RNAcentral. Lineage: Eukaryota; Metazoa; Arthropoda; Insecta; Coleoptera; Lycidae.
AAAGAAAUUUUCUUGUUAAGCUUCUAACUUAAACCUGAGCACUAAAUUGUUCAAAUUUCUA